CGGAGGGAAACCGAGUCUUAAUUGGGCGUUAAGUUGCAGGGUAUAGACCCGAAACCCGGUGAUCUAGCCAUGGGCAGGUUGAAGGUUGGGUAACACUAACUGGAGGACCGAACCGACUAAUGUUGAAAAAUUAGCGGAUGACCUGUGGCUGGGGGUGAAAGGCCAAUCAAACCGGGAGAUAGCUGGUUCUCCCCGAAAGCUAUUUAGGUAGCGCCUCGUGAAUUCAUCUCCGGGGGUAGAGCACUGUUUCGGCUAGGGGGCCAUCCCGGCUUACCAACCCGAUGCAAACUGCGAAUACCGGAGAAUGUUAUCACGGGAGACACACGGCGGGUGCUAACGUCCGUCGUGAAGAGGGAAACAACCCAGACCGCCAGCUAAGGUCCCAAAGUCAUGGUUAAGUGGGAAACGAUGUGGGAAGGCCCAGACAGCCAGGAUGUUGGCUUAGAAGCAGCCAUCAUUUAAAGAAAGCGUAAUAGCUCACUGGUCGAGUCGGCCUGCGCGGAAGAUGUAACGGGGCUAAACCAUGCACCGAAGCUGCGGCAGCGACACUGUGUGUUGUUGGGUAGGGGAGCGUUCUGUAAGCCUGUGAAGGUGUGUCGUGAGGCAUGCUGGAGGUAUCAGAAGUGCGAAUGCUGACAUAAGUAACGAUAAAGCGGGUGAAAAGCCCGCUCGCCGGAAGACCAAGGGUUCCUGUCCAACGUUAAUCGGGGCAGGGUGAGUCGACCCCUAAGGCGAGGCCGAAAGGCGUAGUCGAUGGGAAACGGGUUAAUAUUCCCGUACUUGGUGUUACUGCGAAGGGGGGACGGAGAAGGCUAUGUUGGCCGGGCGACGGUU
RNAcentral lists this ribosomal RNA (834 nucleotides) under Salmonella enterica subsp. enterica. Its description in RNAcentral is "partial 23S ribosomal RNA". It matches the Rfam family "Bacterial large subunit ribosomal RNA", at positions 667 to 1503 of the family's 2925-position model. Lineage: Bacteria; Pseudomonadati; Pseudomonadota; Gammaproteobacteria; Enterobacterales; Enterobacteriaceae. The record is from RNAcentral.